This 74-nucleotide transfer RNA is filed under the name Podarcis lilfordi (Lilford's wall lizard). It matches the Rfam family "tRNA". Rfam says of the family: Transfer RNA (tRNA) molecules are approximately 80 nucleotides in length. The record is from Rfam by way of RNAcentral. Lineage: Eukaryota; Metazoa; Chordata; Lepidosauria; Squamata; Lacertidae.
GUCUUAAUAGCUCAUUUGGUUAGGGUGUGGUGCUGAUAACAGCAAGGUUGCAGGUUCGAUCCCUGUAUGGGACA